Molecule: long non-coding RNA, 453 nt
Organism: Macadamia integrifolia
Lineage: Eukaryota; Viridiplantae; Streptophyta; Magnoliopsida; Proteales; Proteaceae
Exons: 2
Source: RefSeq, a predicted model, not a curated record
UCUGAUAUUCACUCAGGCAGUGAUAGGUUUUUUGUCGAGCAAGAUCCCCUUGUUGCUCUAAUUUAAAUAUAAGCAGUAAAGCUUCAUGUACACUUUGCUUAUGGAUGAGCAAUAUUGGGGCAGAAUUUGAGAAUUUCUGACGCUUUGAACUUAAUGCAGGACCUUGCUAGUCAACUUGGAUCAGAGCCAUUUAUGCUUCAUAUUAUGGUCCAAUAAUGGCGUGGGGAGAAAGAAACAGCAAUUACUGUCAUUUUUUCACUGGAACUUCAAUAUUACAGACUUUGAAGAGUUAACUACAGAAACAAUACUAACAGCCAAACCUCUUGAAGGAAAGUUCAACUGGUUAUGUCCGGGUUAUGUCAAUCUAGUACAUAAUGCAAUAGUCUUCACAGCACAAGGUGCAAGGAAAUGCAAUGUUCCUUUAUAUAAUAGAAUGUGCUCUUGUGGGAAUUA